ACGGAAGGCAGCAGUGGGGAAUAUUGGGCAAUGGGCGAAAGCCUGACCCAGCAACGCCGCGUGAAGGAAGAAGGUCUUCGGAUUGUAAACUUCUUUUAUAAGGGACGAAGAAAGUGACGGUACCUUAUGAAUAAGCCACGGCUAACUACGUGCCAGUAGCCGCGGUAAUACGUAGGUGGCAAGCGUUAUCCGGAUUUACUGGGUGUAAAGGGCGCGUAGGCGGGGAUGCAAGUCAGAUGUGAAAUCCAUGGGCUUAGCCCAUGAACUGCAUUUGAAACUGUAUCUCUUGAGUGCUGGAGAGGUAGACGGGAUUCCUUGUGUAGCGGUGAAAUGCGUAGAUAUAAGGAAGAACACCAGUGGCGAAGGCGGUCUACUGGACAGUAACUGACGCUGAGGCGCGAAAGCGUGGGGAGCAAACAGGAUUAGAUACCCUGGUA
This is a ribosomal RNA of 437 nucleotides. It matches the Rfam family "Bacterial small subunit ribosomal RNA", at positions 341 to 792 of the family's 1533-position model.